Molecule: long non-coding RNA, 1822 nt
Filed under: Sus scrofa (pig)
Lineage: Eukaryota; Metazoa; Chordata; Mammalia; Artiodactyla; Suidae
Description: lncRNA (ENSSSCG00000061413.1)
Source: RNAcentral
UGCAAAGACCCUAUUUCCAAAUAAGGUCACAUUCCACAGGUACAUGGAAUUAGGACUUUAAUAUAUCUUUUGGGAGGACACAGUUCAACCAGUAACACUCUUUUGAGGAAGAAGCAGCAGCCAGAAAGAAAGCCUUGACAUUUUCUAAGGGCAGGGAGCAGAAGUGACCUCUUUUGGACAGCCUCGAGAUUCCCUAAAUACUUGUGUCCUUAUUGAUUGGCUUAUCCUAGGGCUGAGGUCUUUCCUCUUCUGACCCUGGAGUGCGAUGCAGUUUGGUGAGUCAUAUGUACCUUCUUUCUUUCUCUGGGGCCCAGGAGCCCUGGGAGAAUAGGUAGAUGAGGGGUUUCCUUUGUGGCGGUUAAUGAACCCAAGUAGGAUCCAUGAGGAUGUGGGUUCAAUCCCUGGCCUCCCUCAGAGGGUUAAGGAUCCAGCAUUGCCAUGAGCUGUGGUGUAGGUCACAGAUGCGGCUCGCAUCCUGUGUUGCUGUGGUUGUGGCUUAGGCCGGCAGCUGUAGCUCUGAUUUGACUCCUUGACUCCGGGAACUUCCAUAUGCCGCAAGUGUGGCCCUAAAAAAGCAAAAAAAAAAAAAAAAAAAAAAACAGAUGAGCUGUGAAUGGAGAAUUCCCUACAAAUAUAGGAGAAGCCACCCUCCUGCAGGAGUAAGCUGGUCCCUCGUGGGAGCUCUUGGACCUCCAGUGGGAUAACUUAUGGAAGGCUGCAGCGGGAGGGUAGGGCAGGGUAGAAAAGUGGUUGGAGCCUCUUGCAUGUAAAGAGCUUCUUCUCAAGAGCCUGCCCAGGCCCCUUCUGCCCCUCCAAAGGCAUCCUCAGGGCUGCUGCUUUUGAUCACUGCUUACUGCUCUAGAGGCAUACACCUGAAACUGACAACACUAAUGGCCUGAACCUAGCCAGAACCCAGAUUGGGACUUGAACCCACGUUUUAGAUUAGAAUCACUCACCCAGUGUCUGGACUCACUGCGGUUCAGGUUCUUCUGCCUCCAUGCAGAAGGAAUUCAGUGAGAGGCGAAGUGAUAGGCAAGAAAUAAAUUUAUUAAGCUAGGAUACUUGUGUGAGAUGCAAGCAGGCAGGCAAGGAGGCUCUGCUUUCCCCACCCCCAAUUCAGUGGGCUACAGUUUUAUCAUCCAAGGUGAGUGGGGGAAAAGACAGCCUCUUCCUCUUUCUUCGAGUAGUAGCCCCUCCUUAGUAUCUGCUAAGAUGUGUAUUCAAAUCAGCAGAAGGGUGAUCCUCAAACUCCUGCCUGAAUCCGAAUGCAGGCCUCACCCCAUCCCCCACCCAAUGACCUGUGGCAUAUCUCACACCUCCACUAGUCCAGCAAGCCUGUCUUGUUCUGAUGGUCCUCCUGAGCAGUUACUAACUUACAGUGAUCUCCCAAAGUCCCUUAGGUUCCCCUCUCUGUCUGUUGUCCCUUAUUGGGACUUCUGCAACUACCUGUGCCUACUCCAUCCCUAUCACAACACUGGCUGCAUUCCUCUCCUUAUAGCACAGGAACCCAGCGCCGGAUCUGUGUGUAGGAGUCCCACAGUUAGAGAGGGGCCCCUGAGAGGCUUGUGGGAUUUUCCUGGCCAGAAAGAUGGUGGCCGCAAUGGAGGGAGUCCAGUUAAAUGGCCACGAUCCACUGUCUUGCAGGCAAGAGUGUACAACACACACCCAGUAGGGCUUAGGUAGCCGGAAACGUGGCAGCUCCAUACCCCCAAAGUGAAUUUUAAAGUCGACUUAUUUAUACCAUUGUCAUAGCAACAGGAAAACUCUUCUGACCUAUAGCCAUGAAAGGCUCUGUAAAAGAAACUGUAGAAGGAAAAAAAAA